AUGACACUACAUGGCUUUUGAGACUGGAUUAUGACUUCUGCCUGAUUCAUGUGCACACUUGCUCCUGAAGUUUGCGGUUGCCGCGUGAGAAAAUGUCAGUCGUCCACAGUUACACAACCAGGAUGGUAAUCCCAGGAUCUGAACCAAGCUGCUUCUGAUGAGGACACUCAAGCACAGAAAGCUUUCAUCACUUACUCAAGGUCACGCAACUAAGCAAGCGGUGUAGGGCGUCAACUGGCAGGGCAGAUUCUGCUAUUACCCCC
Molecule: long non-coding RNA, 263 nt
Organism: Lontra canadensis (Northern American river otter)
Lineage: Eukaryota; Metazoa; Chordata; Mammalia; Carnivora; Mustelidae
Exons: 4
Source: RefSeq, a predicted model, not a curated record